This 227-nucleotide ribosomal RNA is filed under the name uncultured bacterium. RNAcentral's name for it is "partial 16S ribosomal RNA". It matches the Rfam family "Bacterial small subunit ribosomal RNA", at positions 524 to 750 of the family's 1533-position model. The record is from RNAcentral.
UACGAAGGGGGCUAGCGUUGCUCGGAAUUACUGGGCGUAAAGCGCACGUAGGCGGCUUUCUAAGUCGGGGGUGAAAUCCUGGAGCUCAACUCCAGAACUGCCUUCGAUACUGGAGAGCUUGAGUCCGGGAGAGGUGAGUGGAACUCCGAGUGUAGAGGUGAAAUUCGUAGAUAUUCGGAAGAACACCAGUGGCGAAGGCGGCUCACUGGCCCGGUACUGACGCUGAG